Molecule: long non-coding RNA, 1927 nt
Filed under: Setaria viridis
Lineage: Eukaryota; Viridiplantae; Streptophyta; Magnoliopsida; Poales; Poaceae
Description: long non-coding RNA (SVIR_LNC008185)
Source: RNAcentral
GAACCAGAGAUAGCUAAAAUAAGUUAGCUUCAACAAAUGUGCAAGUCCAAGUAUUGGUGAUGCAAGCAAUACGUGGGUUGCCAUUGUAAGUCAAAUGAGUUAAGAAGAUAAAAAAGGAGAUUAGCUAGCUAGAACGCAGCCAAAUUUAUAAGGCUAGCUAGAGAGGGAGAUUGAAAGGGCUGGCUAGAGAGGAAGGCAAAUCUAUGAUAUUAGUUAGGUUAGUGGAGACGGUGGAGAUUGUCACAGAUUGAGAUUUUUUUUUUGUGAUAAAGGGUCAUAGAUUGAGAUUUGAGAGAACGAGAGGAACAACGAGCUACUUCAGCAACUGAUCCACAUCUGUUUUAUUGUAUUUUUCGUCAGUCAUAUGCCCCAAAGUGACUGUUGCGCCAACGAUCAGGGAUCAAGCACCGUAUUAGCACAACAGCGUUUAAUCAGUGGCUGCAGAGCUCCUCGUCAAGCUUGUGACUGUCUGGCGGAUACGCUUUCGUCCAACGUUCGCAACCAACAAAAAGACCGAACAGGAGAUACACCAUUCAGAAAGCCAUCUGAGAGAUAAACCAAAACUGCUGAACACAAACUGUCAAUAAACAGUGAACCUAAACACCACGAGAAUACAACCACGACAGGGUGAAAAUUCUCAGUUCUUUGAAGCUAGAGUUGAUUCACUUUCAGAAAAUAGGUGUUCAUCAGGUCUGCAACACGACAUAACAUACUUGUGGACUAACAAAACCCAGAGUAAAGGAUAAGAUAAGCCGCCCUUCGAGCAAGAAGAUGCAUCUAAGCUGCAGCACCCUUGCCCUUCUUCUUCUGGAGCUUCUUCAUGUAGAACUCGAGCUCUUUACCCUCAAGGAUGUACCUGUCAUACAAAGGAAAAUACCAUUAUAAGCAGCUAAUUACUGGUGAAGUACACAUUCAUAGCUUUGUUUUAAAAACUAGGUUGAGCCCAAGAAAUUAUUUAAAUAAUGACUGCAUGCAAACUAACUGAUGGGAAUCUAUCGUAUGAAUUCCACAAAACUCCAUCAGUAUUGACCAUAAAAACACAAGCACACCAAUCUAAUUCACUUCAGAAUCCAGGAGCUAAGAAGGAAAACCGAAACAUAACUUCAGCAUUCCUUACCCAUCAGCUCGGCCACACUGCCCAGGGCGAGAAGCAAUGCAUGCCAACAACCUUCCACUGCCAAAUUGCUCCUCAAUGUGUGGGUCAAGGUUGCGCCCCACCUUGCGCUUCUCAAGCUUCCUUGUGACAUGGUUACUCUUCUUUGUUUCCUCAGCUGCAGCCUCACCCUCUUGACCCUGCACAUAUAAACAUCAAACAGUAAACAAUCCAUUAAAGGGAACCAUGAGAUCAAUACUAAAGAAAAGGAAAAGAAAACCAAUUACUAUUACUUUGGUUAACUGCAAGACUCAAAUAAAUAAAUUGAGACAGUCCAAUUUCCAAGGAAAGAUGAAUAAUUUAAUCAUCCCAUGAAAUCCAAAACAAGAUACAGAUGCAUAAACAAUUAAUCAGUACAAAAGGUUGACAAAAAGCAAUCUACCAGCUCUAAACACAGGGCUAGUUAGAAGUGCGCAGUAAGUCACCCAUGAACAGUAGUAAGAUCUCUCAGCAGAUUAAAACAAUGAUAAUUUAUUAUUUCAUGGGGUUGCAAAGGAUGGUACCUCAGCAGCAUCCUUCUUGGCAGCAGGGGCCUUCUUCUUCCUACCAAUGUCCACUCCAUAGUGAGUGAGGUACCACUGCUUGAAUGGGGCAGCAUCAACUUGCACAAUAGCACUCUUCACAAGGGUCUGGGUGCGAACAAGCUCAUUGUUUGACGCAUUGUAGACAACAUCCAGGAUACGGGUCUUGCGGGUAACAGCCUCACUUCCCCAUGAGUAGUUACCAGUAUCCAGGCGGAGAGCCCUCCACUUCACAUUUCCUCCACGGACACGU